AUGACGAGAAAGAAUUCAGAAAAGUUAAAAUUCAGAAUUUUUUUGUUUGUGGGUUUGAUUUACCAAGCAGAUUUUUGCGUUGAAUGGAAACUUAUUGAAAACUAAAAAAGUUUGUAUAUCCUAAUUUCAGAAUGCAGAGUUUGGUUCUUUUGUUUUUUUCCUUUUCAUGGGCUAAUAAUUUGGCCAUGCUUCUACUCUUUGCAGUUGCUAGGGACUGGAAUGGAUACGCAGGAUACAUCUCCUUCAGUGUUGCUAUUCUUUGACAAGGAAAGAUUUAUAUUUAAUGCUGGAGAGGUAAGGAACUCAAUUACAUACAUUUACAUCUGGUUAGUUUUGUAA
Molecule: long non-coding RNA, 339 nt
Filed under: Prunus dulcis (almond)
Lineage: Eukaryota; Viridiplantae; Streptophyta; Magnoliopsida; Rosales; Rosaceae
Description: sRNA ncRNA
Source: RNAcentral